RNAcentral lists this transfer RNA (73 nucleotides) under Thermoplasmatales archaeon. RNAcentral's name for it is "tRNA-Gly". It matches the Rfam family "tRNA". From Rfam's summary of the family: Transfer RNA (tRNA) molecules are approximately 80 nucleotides in length. Their secondary structure includes four short double-helical elements and three loops (D, anti-codon, and T loops). Further hydrogen bonds mediate the characteristic L-shaped molecular structure. tRNAs have two regions of fundamental functional importance: the anti-codon, which is responsible for specific mRNA codon recognition, and the 3' end, to which the tRNAs corresponding amino acid is attached (by aminoacyl-tRNA synthetases). tRNAs cope with the degeneracy of the genetic code in two manners: having more than one tRNA (with a specific anti-codon) for a particular amino acid; and 'wobble' base-pairing, i.e. permitting non-standard base-pairing at the 3rd anti-codon position. Lineage: Archaea; Methanobacteriati; Thermoplasmatota; Thermoplasmata; Thermoplasmatales. The record is from RNAcentral.
GCGGGUGUGAUGUAGUUUGGUAACAUAAAGCCCUGCCACGGCUUAUCCCCGGGUUCAAAUCCCGGCACCCGCA